UACGUAGGGUGCGAGCGUUGUCCGGAAUUACUGGGCGUAAAGAGCUCGUAGGUGGUUUGUCGCGUUGUUCGUGAAAACUCACAGCUUAACUGUGGGCGUGCGGGCGAUACGGGCAGACUGGAGUACUGCAGGGGAGACUGGAAUUCCUGGUGUAGCGGUGGAAUGCGCAGAUAUCAAGCGGAACACCAGUGGCGAAGGCGAGUCCCUGGACAACUCCUGACACUGAGGCACGAAAGCUAGGGGAGCAAACAGG
Molecule: ribosomal RNA, 253 nt
Filed under: uncultured bacterium
Lineage: Bacteria
Description: partial 16S ribosomal RNA
Rfam family: Bacterial small subunit ribosomal RNA
Source: RNAcentral